Taeniopygia guttata (zebra finch) is the source of this 1577-nucleotide non-coding RNA. NCBI's taxonomy places the organism in Eukaryota, Metazoa, Chordata, Aves, Passeriformes, Estrildidae. The record is from RefSeq and is a predicted model, not a curated record.
GAGGCGGCCGGGUAGCGGCGGUGCGCGGCCCCGGUGUCCCUCCGCUGGGCAGGGGCCGCGCUGCCCCCGCGGUGGUUCGGUGCCCGCCCUCGCCGGUGCUGUCUGGAUGAGAUCCUCUGCAACCUGCUCCGAGUGACCCUGGUUUAGCAGGGGUUGGACUCGAUGUUCUCCAGAGAUCCCUGCCCACCCCAGCCAUUCCAGCAGGACAGAGUGAGGAGAGAGGGAAAAAAAAAGGCUAAGAAGAGCAGCAACUUCCAGCCUUUAUAGUGUCACUUUAGAAAUCUAGAAGUAUGGCUGCAGCUUAGGCAGAGCUGGCUCAGGUGCUGAGCAAUUCUUCCAGCUUGAGCACAGAUGUAUCCUUAGUCUACUGCCUUUGUUACUGUGGAGCAUUCGCCAUGCGGAAAUUGGAAAACCUGUUGCCUGAACCAUUUAAAACAGUCCGAAAACACUAGACAAAGGGGUAUAAAGCACACGCUUUUGCUGGCCUUUAGAAUUCUCUAGGAAUUAUUGGACAUUAUGGAUUUUAUGUCACAGUGCAUUCCUUAGUAAGAUUAUAUUGAAGUAUUGGGUAAAACUUCCACAUGGUGUCUUUCUUCCCCAGUAAACAUGACUUGUUGUGUGAACUGGUAAAAUGGCAUUUACAGUUUAAAAAAAUGAACAUGACCCAAAAUUAUCUUGCACAGGAUGUGAUUUCAUAUCACAUACAAUGGAUAACUAUGGUGCACACUUUUUUAAGUUAUUAAAUAAUGUGUGGGUAUAAUGAGGAAAUCUGUGGACCGCUCCCAGUUUGUCUCCACUUUUGUCUGUGCCCAUGAUGUGAUUUGCAGAAGAAACUUAUGCACAGGUUAUUGUUACAUGUGCAUUUGUUGCUAUUUUUAUUGUGGGUCAGUGGGGUCUCAUUCAUUGAAGCUGAAGCUUUUGUGGACUGGCAAUGGACUGACGUGGACUGAUAGCAGAGUUAAUACUUUGUACUGGAUAAAUCUGUAUGCAAUGCAGGUUCAGAUACAAGACAGCUCCAUCUCUUAGGAACUUGCUCCUGCUGCCUUCCUUCUCACCAGCAGAGGUCCAGCUAACAUACCAAUUUCAAAACUGGAACAAGGGUAAAUCUCUUGCUGUCAGCAUAUGAACAAGUUUUCAAGACUGGCUAUGUCUCACAGGAAACUCGAGAGGGCGAACCCCCUGCGAGGGAAGCUCCAUCCCGCCGCCACCGCAGCUCCGGCAUGCCCGGACUUGUCCCGCCCAGCUGCGACAUCCAGCUCGCCUAAAGCGUCCCUGGGGGGAAGCACCGCAGCUGCCGCCGUUCGCUUCAGCAGCAGGGCCAACAAGCCAAGGCACGUCCCGUCCUCAAUAUCGGUAAUACCAAUAGAUGUGACUUCCCUACCAUACCUGAACAGUGGGACUGAUCUGACUGCGUUAGAAACUGAAGAUGAGAAACAGUCAGUAAUGACUGGAGAGGAGCCAUCAGCAGAUGGCUGUACCACAUCACAAGAACUAAGGGCUUUGUGUUAUGCUGAGCCUGCUACAGCAGGGUGUAUAAGCAGCUCAUUGAAGACAAUAUGAGUUUUGUAUGCCUACAA